GAUGAAGAACGUAGCGAAAUGCGAUAAGUAGUGUGAAUUGCAGAAUUCAGUGAAUCAUCGAAUUUUUGAACGCACAUUGCGCCCCUUGGUAUUCCAUGGGGCAUGCCUGUUCGAGCGUCAUCUACACCCUCAAGCUCUGCUUGGUGUUGGGCGUCUGUCCCGCCUUUGCGCGUGGACUCGCCCCAAAUUCAUUGGCAGCGGUCCUUGCCUCCUCUCGCGCAGCACAUUUGCGCUUCUCGAGGUGCGCGGGCCGCGUCCACGAAGCAACUAUUACCGUCUUUGACCUCGGAUCAGGUAGGGAUACCCGCUGAACUUAAGCAUAUCAAUAAGCGGAGGA
RNAcentral lists this unclassified non-coding RNA (337 nucleotides) under soil metagenome. RNAcentral describes it as "partial contains 5.8S ribosomal RNA, internal transcribed spacer 2, and large subunit ribosomal RNA". The stretch from base 1 to 120 matches the Rfam family "5.8S ribosomal RNA", at positions 35 to 154 of the family's 154-position model. The record is from RNAcentral.